RNAcentral lists this non-coding RNA (35 nucleotides) under Alexandrium minutum. Lineage: Eukaryota; Dinophyceae; Gonyaulacales; Pyrocystaceae. The record is from RNAcentral.
UUUUUUUUUUUUUUUUUUUUUUUUUUUUUUUCUUC